AUUGAACGCUGGCGGCAGGCCUAACACAUGCAAGUCGAGCGGAUGAAGGGUGCUUGCUCCUGGAUUCAGCGGCGGACGGGUGAGUAAUGCCUAGGAAUCUGCCUGGUAGUGGGGGAUAACGUCCGGAAACGGGCGCUAAUACCGCAUACGUCCUGAGGGAGAAAGUGGGGGAUCUUCGGACCUCACGCUAUCAGAUGAGCCUAGGUCGGAUUAGCUAGUUGGUGGGGUAAAGGCCUACCAAGGCGACGAUCCGUAACUGGUCUGAGAGGAUGAUCAGUCACACUGGAACUGAGACACGGUCCAGACUCCUACGGGAGGCAGCAGUGGGGAAUAUUGGACAAUGGGCGAAAGCCUGAUCCAGCCAUGCCGCGUGUGUGAAGAAGGUCUUCGGAUUGUAAAGCACUUUAAGUUGGGAGGAAGGGCAGUAAGUUAAUACCUCGCUGUUUUGACGUUACCAACAGAAUAAGCACCGGCUAACUUCGUG
Molecule: ribosomal RNA, 484 nt
Filed under: uncultured bacterium
Lineage: Bacteria
Description: partial 16S ribosomal RNA
Rfam family: Bacterial small subunit ribosomal RNA
Source: RNAcentral